RNAcentral lists this ribosomal RNA (469 nucleotides) under uncultured bacterium. RNAcentral's name for it is "partial 16S ribosomal RNA". It matches the Rfam family "Bacterial small subunit ribosomal RNA", at positions 28 to 507 of the family's 1533-position model. The record is from RNAcentral.
GAUGAACGCUGGCGGCGUGCUUAACACAUGCAAGUCGAACGGUGAAGCUCCAGCUUGCUGGCGUGGAUCAGUGGCGAACGGGUGAGUAACACGUGAGCAACCUGCCCCUGACUCUGGGAUAACAGCCGGAAACGGCUGCUAAUACCGGAUAUGCACCAUGAACGCAUGUUCUGUGGUGGGAAAGAUUUUUCGGUUGGGGAUGGGCUCGCGGCCUAUCAGCUUGUUGGUGAGGUAAUGGCUCACCAAGGCGUCGACGGGUAGCCGGCCUGAGAGGGUGGCCGGCCACACUGGGACUGGGACACGGCCCAGACUCCUACGGGAGGCAGCAGUGGGGAAUAUUGCACAAUGGGCGAAAGCCUGAUGCAGCAACGCCGCGUGGGGGAUGACGGCCUUCGGGUUGUAAACCUCUUUUAGCAGGGAAGAAGCGAGAGUGACGGUACCUGCAGAAAAAGCGCCGGCUAACUACGUG